UGAAGACCUAUAAAGAGGUGCACGACCGUGCGCUAUGGAUAGAGCGCGGCAACACCAUUGCGCGCGAGGAACGCGAGGCAUUUGAAAGGGACAAGGAUAGGGAGAAGUCUAAGAAGCAACCGGCUGGUGGUUCCGCGGGGCAGUCGAGUUCCAAGCGACCCCCUCGGCACCCUAGAUCGCAAUGGCGGCGAGAUAAGAGCCAGACAAGGAGUCAGACGAGUUCCUUCCCGUGCGUAAUCUGCGGUGGGAAUCAUAGGCCGAGUGAAUGUUCUCAGCGUGACGGGAGGUGUUUCCGAUGCGGCCAAGCGGGACACAUGAGAUGGGAUUGCCCGGGCGGCGCGUCACCUGUUCCGUCAGCUGCUUCGGCUCAGUAUGCUCCGCGACAGCUCGUAGGACUGCCACCUGCCAUGUCGGCUGGGCGCGCUUCAUCACCGCGACAACCAGAGGGGUCACGUGCAUCGAGUGGACAGGUUUUCGCCACUCAGGUGGAGGAGCAGCCUGCUGUACCCGACGACAUCGUGGCCAGUAUUAUUCUGAUUAAUGGUGUUAGAGCAAGAGCACUAUUUGACACGGGCGCAUCGCAUUCAUUCAUUGAUGCCUCGUUUGCUAAGACGCAUGGCAUAGACAUAGAACAUAAUU
This 639-nucleotide long non-coding RNA is filed under the name Ananas comosus (pineapple). RNAcentral describes it as "long non-coding RNA (ACOM_LNC027954)". Lineage: Eukaryota; Viridiplantae; Streptophyta; Magnoliopsida; Poales; Bromeliaceae. The record is from RNAcentral.